AGAUAUGCAAUGUGGUGAUUCAGUAAUUCUAUAUAUUACUCAGUGCUCAUCAUGGUAAUUAAAAUGCUACAAUACCUGGAUCACCUUUGACUUGGUCCUUGUUGCCUUUGGCUUGAAAGUUAGAAAGGUAAUAAAGGGUUAGAUGACAGAGGCUAUUUCCCCCCAGAAGGACUUUUUUUCCUCGGCACCCUUGGACAAUGGGAGACUUCCUUUUGCCUUCAUGGCCAGCAACACAGACUCCAGCACCACCACUGAAACUUAGUAAAUGGCUUAUAGAGAAAACUCAGCUUGUGUUCUGGCCUCUCCUUCUUCUUCCUAUUUGUUACACCAGCCCCGUGGUACCUCGCUAGCUUCUCCUUUUCCUAGUAAAACUCCUCCACUUGGGAAAAGCUUAAUCCUUAGUUCAUAUUGCAAAUUGUUGAUGUUCCUGGAAACAAAACUGCUAGAUGACAUCGGUUCAUGUCAGAAGAGCUUUUUUGCUCUCUGGAAUAUCAUUUAUUUAAUCCUCAUUAUUUUCUCAGCUUUUCAGUGCCAUUAAUAGUAUUGUUUUUGCAACCUACUCUAUUUUUAUUAGU
Mustela lutreola (European mink) is the source of this 575-nucleotide long non-coding RNA. RefSeq lists it as uncharacterized. Lineage: Eukaryota; Metazoa; Chordata; Mammalia; Carnivora; Mustelidae. The record is from RefSeq and is a predicted model, not a curated record. The transcript is spliced from 3 exons.